GGACGAAAGUCUGACGGAGCAACGCCGCGUGAGUGAUGAAGGUUUUCGGAUCGUAAAACUCUGUUGUUAGGGAAGAACAAGUACCGUUCGAAUAGGGCGGUACCUUGACGGUACCUAACCAGAAAGCCACGGCUAACUACGUGCCAGCAGCCGCGGUAAUACGUAGGUGGCAAGCGUUGUCCGGAAUCAUUGGGCGUAAAGCGCGCGCAGGUGGUUCUUUAAGUCUGAUGUGAAAGCCCCCGGCUCAACCGGGGAGGGUCAUUGGAAACUGGGGAACUUGAGUGCAGAAGAGGAAAGUGGAAUUCCACGUGUAGCGGUGAAAUGCGUAGAGAUGUGGAGGAACACCAGUGGCGAAGGCGACUUUCUGGCCUGUAACUGACACUGAGGCGCGAAAGCGUGGGGAGCGAACAGGAUUAGAUACCCUGGUAGUCCACGCCGUAAACGAUGAGUGCUAAGUGUUAGGGGGUUUCCGCCCCUUAGUGCUGCAGCAAACGCAUUAAGCACUCCGCCUGGGGAGUACGG
RNAcentral lists this ribosomal RNA (522 nucleotides) under uncultured bacterium. Its description in RNAcentral is "bacterial SSU rRNA". It matches the Rfam family "Bacterial small subunit ribosomal RNA", at positions 373 to 885 of the family's 1533-position model. The record is from RNAcentral.